UGAGGAACAUGACCUUCGGCGGGGGAUAGCCGGCCCAACGGCCGGGUAAUACCGCGUACGACCUUAUGGGGACAUCCCUGGAAGGUGAAAGCAGCAAUGCGCCGAUGGAGUGCCUCGCGGCCUAUCAGCUAGUUGGUGAGGUAACGGCUCACCAAGGCGACGAUGCGUAGCCGACCUGAGGAGGGUGAUCCGGCCACAUUGGAACUGAGACACGGUCCAGACUCCGUACGGGAGCAG
Molecule: ribosomal RNA, 237 nt
Filed under: uncultured bacterium
Lineage: Bacteria
Description: partial 16S ribosomal RNA
Rfam family: Bacterial small subunit ribosomal RNA
Source: RNAcentral